CCAUUUUAAUUGAAAAAUGUAUAUGAAGAUCUCUGGUUGACUAGACAAACAAACCAGUGAUACGUAAUAUACCGCGGAAUUUAAAGAGAACAUAAUGGUAAAACGAAAGUGUGGCUGUUGACCCCUAAUAGCCAUUCUGGCUGGGAAGUGUGUAAUGAUUACUUUGGUGCAUUUCCUGUUCACUGUCGGAGUAAAUAUAGCUACUUCUCAAAGCAGAUGGAGCUACAUGGUUUUCAUGGCCUACGAUCGCUGAGAAUCAUACAAUGGAUUUUUAUCAGACGUUCGUGGCCAAACGGAGAGUGCAAGAAGAACAAGAAACGAGACAUCAAACUGAC
Schistocerca americana (American grasshopper) is the source of this 335-nucleotide long non-coding RNA. RefSeq lists it as uncharacterized. The record is from RefSeq and is a predicted model, not a curated record. NCBI's taxonomy places the organism in Eukaryota, Metazoa, Arthropoda, Insecta, Orthoptera, Acrididae. The transcript has 3 exons.